Molecule: long non-coding RNA, 781 nt
Organism: Pongo pygmaeus (Bornean orangutan)
Lineage: Eukaryota; Metazoa; Chordata; Mammalia; Primates; Hominidae
Exons: 3
Source: RefSeq, a predicted model, not a curated record
CUUUUCCAUGAAGUUCCCCAAUUGGGCAGUGCCCUGAAAUCACUUCUAACGCUGAUGCUAGGCACCACCUCACACCUACUGCUCAGACCCUCCAGGGACAGGGCCCAGGAUUGAAGAGGGAAGCCCUGCCCCGCACGUGUUCAUCAGGAAGGACCCACAGACUGCUGCUCCUGGAGGCCUCUCAGGGUUUAUGGAUGUGUGUUUGUUCCAUAAACCCUCAGAGGGUCACCUGGAGACCUGCUAAAAUGCAGGUUCUUGGGCCACAUCCUAGACCUUCUGACCGACCCAGGGAGUGGGGCCCAGAAAGCUGCAUUUGACAGAUAUCCCCGUGUGAUCAUCAUGCACACAGGAGUGAGCGAACCAGUGUUCUCCCUGGGCAGAAGGGAAGCUUGUGUGCAGGACACCUCAUGCCUCCUUUCCCAUUCCCCUGCCAGGCUCUCCCUGCUGACAUUGUUUCGUGGGAGAGCUGUGAAUUCUGAAGAUUAGGUUGCUUCUCACCCCAAGCUCCAGAAGUCCAGGCUGAGCCAAACCAAGCUUCAAGUUGUGCCUGGACUUGGAGAACCAGGAGGUGAGGGGACUGACUGCUUGAAGAUCACAUGGAGGAGGAGUCUGAUCCAGGCCCAGGCACCGAGGAAAGGCCUAGGGAGAAGGGCAUAGGCAGAUGGGCAGCUGUCUGUAAGCCAGAAAGAGCCUUCACUAGAAACCAAAUCAGCCAGAACCUUCAUCUUGGACUUUCCAGCCUUCAGAGAUGUGAAAAAAUAAAUUUCUGUUGAUUAAGCUA